RNAcentral lists this ribosomal RNA (649 nucleotides) under Bacillus velezensis. RNAcentral's name for it is "bacterial SSU rRNA". It matches the Rfam family "Bacterial small subunit ribosomal RNA", at positions 53 to 684 of the family's 1533-position model. Lineage: Bacteria; Bacillati; Bacillota; Bacilli; Caryophanales; Bacillaceae. The record is from RNAcentral.
ACAUGCAAGUCGAGCGGACAGAUGGGAGCUUGCUCCCUGAUGUUAGCGGCGGACGGGUGAGUAACACGUGGGUAACCUGCCUGUAAGACUGGGAUAACUCCGGGAAACCGGGGCUAAUACCGGAUGGUUGUUUGAACCGCAUGGUUCAGACAUAAAAGGUGGCUUCGGCUACCACUUACAGAUGGACCCGCGGCGCAUUAGCUAGUUGGUGAGGUAACGGCUCACCAAGGCGACGAUGCGUAGCCGACCUGAGAGGGUGAUCGGCCACACUGGGACUGAGACACGGCCCAGACUCCUACGGGAGGCAGCAGUAGGGAAUCUUCCGCAAUGGACGAAAGUCUGACGGAGCAACGCCGCGUGAGUGAUGAAGGUUUUCGGAUCGUAAAGCUCUGUUGUUAGGGAAGAACAAGUGCCGUUCAAAUAGGGCGGCACCUUGACGGUACCUAACCAGAAAGCCACGGCUAACUACGUGCCAGCAGCCGCGGUAAUACGUAGGUGGCAAGCGUUGUCCGGAAUUAUUGGGCGUAAAGGGCUCGCAGGCGGUUUCUUAAGUCUGAUGUGAAAGCCCCCGGCUCAACCGGGGAGGGUCAUUGGAAACUGGGGAACUUGAGUGCAGAAGAGGAGAGUGGAAUUCCACGUGUAGCGGUGA